This 278-nucleotide ribosomal RNA is filed under the name uncultured bacterium. Its description in RNAcentral is "partial 16S ribosomal RNA". It matches the Rfam family "Bacterial small subunit ribosomal RNA", at positions 336 to 606 of the family's 1533-position model. The record is from RNAcentral.
CGCCUACGGGGCGCAGCAGUAGGGAAUUUUCGUCAAUGGGCGCAAGCCUGAACGAGCAAUGCCGCGUGAACGAGGAAGGUCUUCGGAUCGUAAAGUUCUGUUGAAGGGGAAAAAGAGCGGAGAGAGGAAAUGGUCUCCGAUUGAUAUUACCCUUCGAGGAAGUCACGGCUAACUACGUGCCAGCAGCCGCGGUAAUACGUAGGUGGCGAGCGUUAUCCGGAUUUAUUGGGUUUAAAGGGUGCGCAGGCGGUCUGUUAAGUCAGCGGGCAAAGCCCGGG